AAUCAACGCUGGCGGCGUGCCUCAGACAUGCAAGUCGAACGCGAAAGCUCCCUUCGGGGAGCAAGUAGAGUGGCGCACGGGUGAGUAACACGUAGGUAAUCUACCUUUGGAUGGGGAAUAACAACCGGAAACGGUUGCUAAUACCGCAUAAUGCAGCGGCACCUAAUGGUGACAGUUGUUAAAGCGGGGGAUCACAAGACCUCGCGUCUGAAGAGGAGCCUGCGGCAGAUUAGCUAGUUGGUAAGGUAACGGCUUACCAAGGCGAUGAUCUGUAGCCGGCCUGAGAGGGCGGUCGGCCACACUGACACUGACAUACGGGUCAGACUCCUACGGGAGGCAGCAGUCGGGAAUUUUGGGCAAUGGGCGAAAGCCUGACCCAGCAACGCCGCGUGAAGGAUGAAAUCCCUCGGGAUGUAAACUUCGCAAGAACGGGAAGAAUAAGUCGGUGUAAACACCACCGACGAUGACGGUACUGUUUGUAAGCUCCGGCUAACUCCGUGCCGGCAGCCG
Molecule: ribosomal RNA, 510 nt
Filed under: uncultured bacterium
Lineage: Bacteria
Description: bacterial SSU rRNA
Rfam family: Bacterial small subunit ribosomal RNA
Source: RNAcentral